UUGAAUUUUUAAAAAUACUUUGUUGCGUUUCUAAAUUUUCAAUCAGUAGAAUAAAUUGUUAUUUUUGUUUGUUUCUUUUAAGCAAUAAAAUAAGAAGAAGAAGGGGAAAAAAAGAUGUUUUGUACGUACUUUUGUUUCUCAGACGUGCAAAGUCCGUGUAACAUAGCAGCUGUCCAUGUCUCUAGUGCAUUUGCGACAAACUCGUAUAGUCAUUCAUCUUGCAGGAGACACUUUUAACUUUCCUGCUAUUUCAUCCGAAACAAAAUACCCCAAAAAUUUCACGUAUAAUAUGUUUGAAGGAAGAAGCAGAUUGUGGGGUCAUUAGCGCCAUCAGCUACAGUUCUCUUUAUCGCUUGCCACAGACAUGCAACGUGGGAAUAAUACAACAUCCAUUGACUCCCUGCGGAUAAUAAUCGAUAUCGCCUAGCUUACACCUUUGAAGGAAGUUCAAAUUACUGAUAUCAAUAGCGUAUAUCUUCAAUAGUAUUCGCGUUUAAUCAGAUCAAACUACAUCUUAAAUAUUGUUUCCUCCAGCGAAUCUCGAGUGAAAUGUUACAAAAUAGAUUUUGAUAAUAAAAAAAAAACAGAAGAAAGAAUAAAAAAAAAAACUUUUCCAGAAUC
This is a long non-coding RNA of Centruroides sculpturatus (bark scorpion), 621 nucleotides long. RefSeq lists it as uncharacterized. The record is from RefSeq and is a predicted model, not a curated record. Lineage: Eukaryota; Metazoa; Arthropoda; Arachnida; Scorpiones; Buthidae. The transcript is spliced from 2 exons.